Cydia fagiglandana is the source of this 499-nucleotide long non-coding RNA. RefSeq lists it as uncharacterized. The record is from RefSeq and is a predicted model, not a curated record. The transcript has 3 exons. NCBI's taxonomy places the organism in Eukaryota, Metazoa, Arthropoda, Insecta, Lepidoptera, Tortricidae.
UUGAAAACUGCGGUGACGUUGAACAGCCACGUGCGGCCGGUCUGCGUGGACUUCAGCGUGACGUUCGAUGACGAGCAGCUGCGGCCAGGAAACAUUGGCAAGGUAGCAGCCUGGAACCGAACUCCUUUGCUGAAGUUCAUAGAACUGCCGUAUGUGGAGGUGGAGCAAUGCUUCGCCGACCUUCCCAGGAGUUUCAUCAGCUUCAUCACCAGCGACAAGAUAUGCGCCGGCACCAGGAACAGUACCAAGCUCUGCAGCGGCGAUAGCGGCGGCGGGCUGGUCUUCCCCCGCACAGAGCACGGCACCCAACGCUGGUACCUCCGCGGCGUGGUCUCCACGGCUCCUCAAAACCCUAAUACUUAUUCCCAAGACCUCUGCGACGCUGGCUCCUACACCGCCUUCACGCAUCUGCUCAAGCAUGAUGCUUUCAUUACCAAGUUUCUGGAGGCGCGGAGGGAUUAUGUUAACCAAAUAUAUUUAGUUCCAUGAUUAUAGUUAU